GUCUCUGUAGUGCAAUGAAUAGCGCUUUGAACUAUUUAUUCAAAGGUCGUGGGUUCAAAUCCUACCUGGGAUG
Non-coding RNA from Trichonephila clavata, 73 nucleotides. The record is from the annotation of a GenBank genome assembly. NCBI's taxonomy places the organism in Eukaryota, Metazoa, Arthropoda, Arachnida, Araneae, Nephilidae.